This 401-nucleotide ribosomal RNA is filed under the name uncultured bacterium. Its description in RNAcentral is "bacterial SSU rRNA". It matches the Rfam family "Bacterial small subunit ribosomal RNA", at positions 28 to 430 of the family's 1533-position model. The record is from RNAcentral.
GACGAACGCUGGCGGCGUGCUUAACACAUGCAAGUCGAACGGUGACGAGGAGCUUGCUCCUCUGAUCAGUGGCGAACGGGUGAGUAACACGUGAGCAACCUGCCCCAGACUCUGGGAUAACAGUUGGAAACAGCUGCUAAUACCGGAUACGAGACGGAGAGGCAUCUCUACCGUCUGGAAAGUUUUUCGGUCUGGGAUGGACUCGCGGCCUAUCAGCUAGUUGGUGAGGUAAUGGCUCACCAAGGCGACGACGGGUAGCCGGCCUGAGAGGGCGACCGGCCACACUGGGACUGAGACACGGCCCAGACUCCUACGGGAGGCAGCAGUGGGGAAUAUUGCACAAUGGGCGAAAGCCUGAUGCAGCGACGCCGCGUGAGGGAUGACGGCCUGUUGUAACGUAC